GACGAACGCUGGCGGCGUGCUUAACACAUGCAAGUCGAACGGAAAGGCCCUGCUCUUGUUGGGUUCUCGAUUGGCGAACGGGUGUGUAACACGUGAGUAACCUGCCCUUGACUUUCGGAUAACUUCAGGAAACUGGGGCGAAUACCGGAGAGGAGCUCCUGCUGCAUGUGGGGGGUUGGAAAGUUUCGGCGUUUGGGGAUGGACUCGCGGCUUAUCGGCUUGUUUGUGUGGUAGUGGCUUACCAAGGCUUUGACGGGUAGCCUGCCUGAGAGGGUGACCGGCCACAUUGGGACUGAGAUACGGACCAGACUGCUACGGGCGGCAGCAGUGGGGAAUAUUGCACAAUGGGGGGAAGCCUGAUGCAGCAACGCCGCGUGCGGGAUAACGGCCUUCGGGUUGUAAACCGCUUUCGCCUGUGACGAAGAGUGAGUGACGGUAAUGGGUAAAGAAGCACCGGCUAACUACGUG
RNAcentral lists this ribosomal RNA (468 nucleotides) under uncultured bacterium. RNAcentral describes it as "partial 16S ribosomal RNA". It matches the Rfam family "Bacterial small subunit ribosomal RNA", at positions 28 to 507 of the family's 1533-position model. The record is from RNAcentral.